UACGGGGGGGGCAAGCGUUGUUCGGAAUUACUGGGCGUAAAGGGCUUGUAGGCGGCCAACUAAGUCAAACGUGAAAUCCCUCGGCUUAACCGGGGAACUGCGCUUGAUACUGGAUGGCUUGAGAUUGGGAGAGGGAUGCGGAAUUCCAGGUGUAGCGGUGAAAUGCGUAGAUAUCUGGAGGAACACCGGUGGCGAAGGCGGCAUCUUGGACCAACACUGACGCUGAGGAGCGAAAGCCAGGGGAGCAAACGGG
Molecule: ribosomal RNA, 253 nt
Filed under: uncultured bacterium
Lineage: Bacteria
Description: partial 16S ribosomal RNA
Rfam family: Bacterial small subunit ribosomal RNA
Source: RNAcentral